AGUGAACGCUGGCGGUAGGCCUAACACAUGCAAGUCGAACGGCAGCACAGUAAGAGCUUGCUCUUACGGGUGGCGAGUGGCGGACGGGUGAGGAAUACAUCGGAAUCUACUUUUUCGUGGGGGAUAACGUAGGGAAACUUACGCUAAUACCGCAUACGACCUACGGGUGAAAGCAGGGGAUCUUCGGACCUUGCGCGAUUGAAUGAGCCGAUGUCGGAUUAGCUAGUUGGCGGGGUAAAGGCCCACCAAGGCGACGAUCCGUAGCUGGUCUGAGAGGAUGAUCAGCCACACUGGAACUGAGACACGGUCCAGACUCCUACGGGAGGCAGCAGUGGGGAAUAUUGGACAAUGGGCGCAAGCCUGAUCCAACCAUACCGCGUAGGUGAAGAAGACCUUCGGGUUGUAAAGCCCUUUUGUUGGGAAAGAAAAGCAGCAGGUUAAUACCCCGCUGUUCUGACGGUACCCAAAGAAUAAGCACCGGCUAACUUCGUG
RNAcentral lists this ribosomal RNA (492 nucleotides) under uncultured bacterium. RNAcentral's name for it is "partial 16S ribosomal RNA". It matches the Rfam family "Bacterial small subunit ribosomal RNA", at positions 29 to 507 of the family's 1533-position model. The record is from RNAcentral.